ACCGGGAGCUAGGGUGCGGGGGCGGCUGGGGGACCCGAGACGGAGCGCAGCGAGGGGGGCUGGAAGCGGCUGGAGGAGGGCGUCGGCGUGGCCGUGUUUGUGUCCAGAGCACCUGCGUGCAUGGGGGGCAUUUCGGACGGGGGAGACUGGCUUGGGGCGAAGCUGGGGGAUGCGACAGAGUUCCGACCGGCAGAAUCUGAGACGCCCACCGAGGACGUGUGCGCACGAGUGUGAGGAAGACAAAGGACCGCAGACUUGCGGGCCCUGGUUGACCACGGUCACUCGGCUCAGGGCGGGAUGACAACGAGAGUCCGGGGCGGCAGCGCAGAAACCUGGCCUAGCGCUCUAGCAGAAGGACGGGCUUUCAGGCUGGAAGGACUCCCCUGGGCCCGGCUGCGGAAAGGGAGGUGCCCGAGGCCCUGGAGGGACAGCAGUGUCCGGCCGGCCGCCUCGCCUGGGAUUCUUAGCUCCUGACUCACUGUCCUUCUGUCCAAUACCGGUGUUGCAGGAAUUCUUAAUGACUCCAGGAUCCACAUGGGUGAUCCUUCCAGCGCCCCACACCCCGGCCGCCCUCUCUUAAAGCGCACCUGGGAUUUGUUUUCAUCAGAAAACAUAAAGGCCAACUGGCUUUGUUCAGUUAUGCUAACGUGAAAUAAAAGAGAAAGAUGAAUUAAGGAGGUUGCUGUUCCAUGUCCCAGCAGGAGUCAGAGGACAUAUUUCCAAGCCAGGCCUUGCUGAGUUGGAAAAUCAAAACUCUUUCUCAUUUCCAACCUUUCCAGGCAGCAAAAAGUUCUGAAGCUUUGGCCAGUGGGAUGCCAGCAAGAAGGAUUCAAGCAGAGGCCCCAUAAAUGCUCGCACAUGGCUUCCAUGCUGGAAGGAGUCUGGCUAUCCUGCCUGGCCACGUGGGGGACUCUGGGUAAUGAGACGCCACACAAAGACAAGUCACAUGCAAGACAAACAGGCACUCCAGUGAACUCCCAGCCGAGUGCAACCAAAGGAGGGACCCAGAAGACCCCAAUCACAGAAUUGCAAAAAAUAAUAAAUCAAUAUUGUCUUAAGCCAUAA
This is a long non-coding RNA of Mustela lutreola (European mink), 1065 nucleotides long. RefSeq lists it as uncharacterized. The record is from RefSeq and is a predicted model, not a curated record. The transcript has 4 exons. NCBI's taxonomy places the organism in Eukaryota, Metazoa, Chordata, Mammalia, Carnivora, Mustelidae.